RNAcentral lists this ribosomal RNA (484 nucleotides) under uncultured bacterium. Its description in RNAcentral is "partial 16S ribosomal RNA". It matches the Rfam family "Bacterial small subunit ribosomal RNA", at positions 30 to 507 of the family's 1533-position model. The record is from RNAcentral.
AUUGAACGCUGGCGGCAGGCCUAACACAUGCAAGUCGAGCGGAUGAAGGGAGCUUGCUCCUGGAUUCAGCGGCGGACGGGUGAGUAAUGCCUAGGAAUCUGCCUUGUAGUGGGGGAUAACGUCCGGAAACGGGCGCUAAUACCGCAUACGUCCUGAGGGAGAAAGUGGGGGAUCUUCGGACCUCACGCUAUCAGAUGAGCCUAGGUCGGAUUAGCUAGUUGGUGGGGUAAAGGCCUACCAAGGCGACGAUCCGUAACUGGUCUGAGAGGAUGAUCAGUCACACUGGAACUGAGACAAGGUCCAGACUCCUACGGGAGGCAGCAGUGGGGAAUAUUGGACAAAGGGCGAAAGCCUGAUCCAGCCAUGCCGCGUGUGUGAAGAAGGUCUUCGGAUUGUAAAGCACUUUAAGUUGGGAGGAAGGGCAGUAAGUUAAUACCUAGCUGUUUUGACGGUACCAACAGAAUAAGCACCGGCUAACUUCGUG